AUUAAACGCUGGCGGCAUGCCUUACACAUGCAAGUCGAACGGCAGCACGGGGGCAACCCUGGUGGCGAGUGGCGAACGGGUGAGUAAAGCAUCGGAACGUGCCCUGGAGUGGGGGAUAACGUAGCGAAAGUUACGCUAAUACCGCAUAUUCUGUGAGCAGGAAAGCAGGGGAUCGCAAGACCUUGCGCUCUGGGAGCGGCCGAUGUCGGAUUAGCUAGUUGGUGGGGUAACGGCCUACCGAGGCGACGAUGGGUAGCUGGUCUGAGAGGAUGGUCAGCCGGAUCGGGACUGAGACACGGCCCGGACUCCUACGGGGGGCAGCAAUCAGGAAUAUUGCGCAAUGGGGGAAACCCUGACGCAGCGACGCCGCGUGCGGGAUGAAGGCCUUGGUCGUAACCGCUGUUGUGGGAGACGAAUGACUGUCGAUGAGGCAGUGGAGACGGUAUCUCACGAGGAAGCCCGGCUAACUACGUGCCAGCAGCCGCGGUAAU
RNAcentral lists this ribosomal RNA (491 nucleotides) under uncultured bacterium. RNAcentral's name for it is "bacterial SSU rRNA". It matches the Rfam family "Bacterial small subunit ribosomal RNA", at positions 28 to 524 of the family's 1533-position model. The record is from RNAcentral.